UGGCGGACGGGUGAGUAAUGUCUGGGAAACUGCCUGAUGGAGGGGGAUAACUACUGGAAACGGUAGCUAAUACCGCAUAACGUCGCAAGACCAAAGAGGGGGACCUUCGGGCCUCUUGCCAUCGGAUGUGCCCAGAUGGGAUUAGCUAGUAGGUGGGGUAACGGCUCACCUAGGCGGCGAUCCCUAGCUGGUCUGAGAGGAUGACCAGCCACACUGGAACUGAGACACGGUCCAG
RNAcentral lists this ribosomal RNA (235 nucleotides) under uncultured bacterium. RNAcentral's name for it is "partial 16S ribosomal RNA". It matches the Rfam family "Bacterial small subunit ribosomal RNA", at positions 96 to 334 of the family's 1533-position model. The record is from RNAcentral.